RNAcentral lists this ribosomal RNA (633 nucleotides) under Umbelopsis sp. RNAcentral's name for it is "LSU rRNA". It matches the Rfam family "Eukaryotic large subunit ribosomal RNA", at positions 92 to 648 of the family's 3401-position model. Lineage: Eukaryota; Fungi; Mucoromycota; Umbelopsidomycetes; Umbelopsidales; Umbelopsidaceae. The record is from RNAcentral.
AGUGAAGCGGGAAGAGCUCAAAUUUAAAAUCUGGCUUGCUUGCAAGUCCGAGUUGUAGUCUGAAGAAACGUUUUCCAUGAAAGCUGAGGCACAAGUCCUUUGGAACAGGGCAUCAUAGAGGGUGAGAAUCCCGUCCAUGGUCUCAUGCAUUUCAUUUUGUGAUACGUUUUCUAAGAGUCAGGUUGUUUGGGAAUGCAGCCUAAAAUGGGUGGUAAAUUUCAUCUAAAGCUAAAUAUUGGCGAGAGACCGAUAGCGAACAAGUACCGUGAGGGAAAGAUGAAAAGAACUUUGAAAAGAGAGUUAAAAAGUACGUGAAAUUGUUGAAAGGGAACCGUUUGAAGCCAGUCUUGCUUACUUGUGAUCAAUCUUAGCUUCGGCUUGGAUGCACUCUCGAGUUAUGCAGGUCAACGUCAGUUUGAGAGGUGGGAAAAAAGUUUGAGGAAUGUGGCCUUCGGGUGUUAUAGCCUCUUACUAAAUACCAUCUCCUGGACUGAGGCUCGCAGCAAAAAUGUGGGUUGGUUUGCUCCUGAGGUGAAUCAUUAUUAAGACAGCUUGCUGACUUAGUUUUGUGGAUCUUCACGGUAGACCAGCUUCUAAUUUGCUUAGGUCGUUGACAUAAUGGCUUUAAAUGAC